This 367-nucleotide ribosomal RNA is filed under the name Trimeroptes sp. FJ28. RNAcentral's name for it is "partial small subunit ribosomal RNA". The record is from RNAcentral. Lineage: Eukaryota; Metazoa; Arthropoda; Arachnida; Trombidiformes; Diptilomiopidae.
UUCAGUUUUUCUGAAAGUGACGGGCGAUAUGUGCACAUAAAAUUAAUUUUUAAAAAUUUAAUAUUAUUCAAAAUUUUUAUUUUCAAAUCCUAUUUAAUUUUAAAUUUUUUUAAUAAACUAUAGAAAUUUUUAAUGUAUUCCACUUUUUCUUUUAUAUUAUUUUUGUCUUGAUUUGUUUUUUAAUUCAAAAAAAUUUUUAAUAGAAUAAUUAAUUUUUUUCUUUUUAAAACAAUGAUAUGAAAAAUAAUAAUAAAAGUACAUUAUAUCGUGGGCUAUCGAUUAUAUUACAGAAUCCUCUAAAUAUAUUUUAUGCCGCCAUUAAUAACAGUUUUUUCUUAUUUAGUUAAUCUCUUUUUUUUAUUUAAAA